Molecule: transfer RNA, 71 nt
Filed under: Cavia porcellus (domestic guinea pig)
Lineage: Eukaryota; Metazoa; Chordata; Mammalia; Rodentia; Caviidae
Rfam family: tRNA
About the family: Transfer RNA (tRNA) molecules are approximately 80 nucleotides in length. Their secondary structure includes four short double-helical elements and three loops (D, anti-codon, and T loops).
Source: Rfam by way of RNAcentral
GGGGAUUUAGCUCAGUGGCAUAAGCGCCUGCCUUGCAAACAGGCAGUCGUGGUUUCCAUCCCCAGUACCUA